RNAcentral lists this ribosomal RNA (455 nucleotides) under uncultured bacterium. Its description in RNAcentral is "SSU rRNA". It matches the Rfam family "Bacterial small subunit ribosomal RNA", at positions 26 to 518 of the family's 1533-position model. The record is from RNAcentral.
AGGAUGAACGCUGGCGGCGUGCCUAAUACAUGCAAGUCGAGCGGUAAGGCCCCUUCGGGGGUACACGAGCGGCGGACGGCUGAGUAACACGUAGGAACGUACCCCAAACUGAGGGAUAAGCACCAGAAAUGGUGUCUAAUACCGCAUGUGGUCUUCGGAUUAAAGCUUCGGCGGUUUGGGAACGGCCUGCGCAUGAUUAGCUUGUUGGUGAGGUAAAAGCUUACCAAGGCGACGAUCAUUAGCUGGUCUGAGAGGAUGAUCAGCCAGACUGGGACUGAGAACGGCCCAGACUCCUACGGGAGGCAGCAGUAGGGAAUUUCCACAAUGGGCGAAAGCCUGAUGGAGCAACGCCGCGUGCAGGACGAAGGCCUUCGGGUUGUAAACUGCUUUUAUAUGUGAAGAUUAUGACGGUAGCAUAUAGAAUAAGGAUCGGCUAACUCCGUGCCAGCAGCCGC